GUGGUCUGUGAUCAGCAACAUUCACCAUCUUCCAUUUGAGUCUCACAAUUGUGAGAUUACCCCAUGCACUGCUCUGAGACCUA
Molecule: small nucleolar RNA, 83 nt
Organism: Suncus etruscus (white-toothed pygmy shrew)
Lineage: Eukaryota; Metazoa; Chordata; Mammalia; Eulipotyphla; Soricidae
Source: RefSeq, a predicted model, not a curated record